This 579-nucleotide ribosomal RNA is filed under the name uncultured bacterium. RNAcentral's name for it is "partial 16S ribosomal RNA". It matches the Rfam family "Bacterial small subunit ribosomal RNA", at positions 355 to 932 of the family's 1533-position model. The record is from RNAcentral.
UGGGGAAUUUUGGACAAUGGGCGAAAGCCUGAUCCAGCAAUGCCGCAUGUGUGAAGAAGGCCUUCGGGUUGUAAAGCACUUUUGUCCGGAAAGAAAUCCUUGGCUCUAAUACAGUCGGGGGAUGACGGUACCGGAAGAAUAAGCACCGGCUAACUACGUGCCAGCAGCCGCGGUAAUACGUAGGGUGCAAGCGUUAAUCGGAAUUACUGGGCGUAAAGCGUGCGCAGGCGGUUUGCUAAGACCGAUGUGAAAUCCCCGGGCUCAACCUGGGAACUGCAUUGGUGACUGGCAGGCUAGAGUAUGGCAGAGGGGGGUAGAAUUCCACGUGUAGCAGUGAAAUGCGUAGAGAUGUGGAGGAAUACCGAUGGCGAAGGCAGCCCCCUGGGCCAAUACUGACGCUCAUGCACGAAAGCGUGGGGAGCAAACAGGAUUAGAUACCCUGGUAGUCCACGCCCUAAACGAUGUCAACUAGUUGUUGGGGAUUCAUUUCCUUAGUAACGUAGCUAACGCGUGAAGUUGACCGCCUGGGGAGUACGGUCGCAAGAUUAAAACUCAAAUGAAUUGACGGGGUCAUAGCUG